Molecule: ribosomal RNA, 468 nt
Filed under: uncultured bacterium
Lineage: Bacteria
Description: partial 16S ribosomal RNA
Rfam family: Bacterial small subunit ribosomal RNA
Source: RNAcentral
GACGAACGCUGGCGGCGUGCUUAACACAUGCAAGUCGAACGGAAAGGCCCUGCUUUUGUGGGGUGCUCGAGUGGCGAACGGGUGAGUAACACGUGAGUAACCUGCCCUUGACUUUGGGAUAACUUCAGGAAACUGGGGCUAAUACCGGAUAGGAGCUCCUGCUGCAUGGUGGGGGUUGGAAAGUUUCGGCGGUUGGGGAUGGACUCGCGGCUUAUCAGCUUGUUGGUGGGGUAGUGGCUUACCAAGGCUUUGACGGGUAGCCGGCCUGAGAGGGUGACCGGCCACCUGGGGACUGAGAUACGGACCAGACUCCUACGGGAGGCAGCAGUGGGGAAUAUUGCACAAUGGGCGGACGCCUGAUGCAGCAACGCCGCGUGCGGGAUGACGGCCUUCGGGUUGUAAACCGCUUUCGCCUGUAACGAAGCGUGAUUGACGGUAAUGGGUAAAGAAGCACCGGCUAACUACGUG